GGGCAGAUGGUGUAACGGUCAAACACUACCACUUUCGAUGUGGAGAUGAAUCGAUGAAGGUUCGAAUCCUUCUCUGCGCA
This 80-nucleotide transfer RNA is filed under the name Laccaria bicolor S238N-H82. RNAcentral describes it as "tRNA-Arg (TCG) (tRNA-Arg-TCG-4-1)". It matches the Rfam family "tRNA". From Rfam's summary of the family: Transfer RNA (tRNA) molecules are approximately 80 nucleotides in length. Their secondary structure includes four short double-helical elements and three loops (D, anti-codon, and T loops). Lineage: Eukaryota; Fungi; Basidiomycota; Agaricomycetes; Agaricales; Hydnangiaceae. The record is from RNAcentral.